Molecule: long non-coding RNA, 15886 nt
Filed under: Solanum tuberosum (potato)
Lineage: Eukaryota; Viridiplantae; Streptophyta; Magnoliopsida; Solanales; Solanaceae
Description: long non-coding RNA (STUB_LNC009471)
Source: RNAcentral
GGGGCUUGUAAAUGACUUGACCCAUUAUUAAUUUUCCAGGAACAAAUAAUUACCUGUGGGUAUAUGUAGAAGCUGCUUCACUCAUCUUUCUUUCAUUAUAUUAAAAUAAAAAAUUAUCUAAAAAUCCCUUAAAUUUAUUGUCAUCAAAUAUGCAUACACAGUUUGUUGUAGGAGAAUCAUCUUCUUCUUCCAACUUGUAUUAUGAUGUAUUUCUUAGUUUCAGAGGUGAAGAUACUCGCAAAACCUUCACCGGUCAUCUUUACACCCAAUUGUGUCAAGUCGGAGUUAAUACCUUCAUAGAUGAUGAGGAAUUAAGAAAGGGAGACGCCAUUUCAACCGAACUUGAGAAAGCAAUUGAACAAUCAAGGGUUGCCAUUGUUGUUUUCUCCAUAAAUUAUGCUUCCUCUAGUUGGUGUCUUGAUGAACUCGUUAAAAUUCUCGAUUGCAGAGAGAGGUUAAAUCAGGUAGUUUUGCCUAUUUUUUAUGAUGUUGAUCCUUCUCAAGUGCGAAAGCAAAAAGGGUCCUUUGGCAAAGCUUUGGCAGAACACAAGGAACCAUUGGUUGGAGCUGAAAGAAUGGAAAAGUGGAAAGCAGCACUCACUGAAGCUGCGAGUUUAUCUGGAUGGGAUCUGCAAAACAUGGCUGAUGGGUAAGACUUCUUAAUUCAACUAUAGAAUUUUGAAUUUAAGCGUUUGUCUAAGCAUAUAAGCUGGUUAAUUUUGGAACAUUGCAAAGUCUUUCUAUAUUUCUUAAAUUACAUAUCAAAUCAAACUACAUCCGCAGAGCAGUAUUAAUGGACAAAUUUCCAUUCUCUAUCCUCGAGUUCUGUGUUAUAUGUUAGCUAUUGAUUUCCAUUCUAUCCAGGGAGAACUAGUUUUAACUUCUGAUAUUGCUAAAAAAACUGUAGGCAUGAAUCAAAAUUUAUCGGAAGUAUUAUAAAACAAGUUCUGCAAGAGGUCAACCAGACACCUCUAGAUGUUGCUCAUUACCCAAUUGGAUUAGAUUCUUCUAUCCAACAUAUAGAGUUGUUACUGCAAAGUGGAUGUGAGCAUGAAGUUCGUAUGGUUGGUAUAUGUGGCGUUGGUGGAAUUGGAAAAACAACUCUGGCGAAAGCUAUAUACAAUCGAUUAUUUCGACAGUUUGGUGGUUGUUGUUGCUUUCUAUCAGACAUUAGAUCACAAGCUGAAGAAUCGGGUCUAAUCAAGCUACAAGAGAAACUACUUUGUCAAAUUCUCAAAACUAAGGAAUUCAAAGUUGAUAGUGUUGCUGAAGGUGUCAAUCUAAUCAAAGCAAGACUUGGGUCAAAGAAGGUUCUAAUUGUUCUUGAUGACGUGGAUCAUAGAAGCCAAUUAGAAUCCUUGACAAGAGAAAGAAGUUGGUUUGGCUCGGGUAGUGUAAUAAUUAUUACAACCCGAGAUGAGCAUUUGCUACAUGGGCUUACAACAAGUGAGAUACACCGGGCCAAACUUUUAAAUGAAAAUGAAUCUCAACAACUUUUUUCUUGUCAUUCUUUUAACAGUCUUUCUCCACCACAAGAAUAUGUUGAACUGGCACAAGACAUAAUAAAAUAUUCAGGUGGGCUACCAUUAGCUCUUGUGACAUUGGGGUCACAUCUGCAAGGGAGAUCCGUUGAAGAAUGGAGAAAUGAGUUCAAGAAACUAAAAGCAAUUCCUCAUUAUGAUAUUCAAAAGAUUCUCCAGAUAAGCUUUGAUGGACUUGAUGAUAAUACUCAAAGUGUUUUCCUUGAUAUCGCGUGUGCCUUCCAUGGAUUUUUUGAGGAUGAAGUUACUAGUACAUUAAAUGCGUGUGGUUUUUAUUCUGAAAGUGCUAUUUCAACCUUAGUCCAAAGGAACUUGCUCCAAAGGGAUUGGCAUAAUUUAGCGAUGCAUGAUCUUGUGCGGGAUAUGGGAAGAGAAAUCGUUCGCAGGGAAUCACCUCGAGACUCUGGAAAACGGAGUAGAUUGUUCAACCCUCAAGAAGUCUGUGACGUUCUACAAGGAAAUAAAGUCAGUAAAUUUCAUAAUCUUUAUCUUGGUUAAUACUUUUUUUUGUCUUUUUAUUUUACUUAAUUUGAUAUAAUUUGCUUAUAAUUUAUGUGUCACCACAAGAAUUCAAUUCAUUUGUGCUUAGUUCGUUCUGGCUUGUAAAUUAUCUCUAGUUGUUUUUACCACUCUGUACUUGAAAUAAACAUUUACUAAAGUCUAAACACUCAAACUAUCAAAGACAAAAUUAUCAAAUAAAAUUUACUUAUUCAGUAAUUAUAUAAAUCGGUUUGCUGAAAGAUAUUUCUUGUUAAAUAUCCUUUAGUUGGAUAUAUUGUGUAGAUUUAUUUUUAUUGGUAGAUAAUUUGUUCUCUUUGUUUGACCUUCAAUUUGUAUAAAGCAUUUCUCUCUCUUAAUUUCUCUUAGUUAACAUGGUCUUAUAGUACUUUUGUUUUUACUUAACUACAGGGUUCUGAAAAUGUAGAAGUACUGAUGGUAGAACGACAUGCAUUAAAGGGUGUGAAGCUGAGCACCAAAGCAUUUCAGAAAAUGAUAAAUCUUAGGGUGCUUAAAAUCGACGACUUACAUAUUAGUGGAGAUUUUGAGCUAUUGUCCAAGGAGCUCAGAUGGUUGUCUUGGGAAGGAUGUCCUUUAAAAUGUAUACCAUCAAAUUUUCCAUCUGACCAACUUGUAUUUCUGAAUAUGAAAGGGAGCAAUAUCCAAGAACUUGGUUUGAAUUUGCAGGUUCGUUACUCAAUUCUGCAAUUUCAUGUGUACUGUUAUAUCGCAACUAAGAGAAAGAAAAUCUUAGUUGACACUAUAUUUUGUUUAUUUUAGUAUUGUAGAAAUUUGAAGAAGCUGGAUCUCUCUGAUUGCAAGCACCUCAGAAAUACUCCAAACUUCAGCGGUUUACGAAGUCUCGAGACUUUGUGGCUUGAGAAUUGCUCAAGUCUAAAGGAGAUCCAUCCAUCAAUAGGAAAUUUGGACAGACUAACUGCUCUUCAUUUGUAUGGUUGCAAAAAGAUUACGGAUCUUCCAAGUAGCACAUGCCAGCUAAAAUCCCUUGAAGACUUGGACAUUACUUACUGCUCAUCUUUACAAACACUGCCAGCUGACAUUGGAGAUAUGCAAAGCCUAAGACAUCUCUAUGCACAAGAUACUGAUAUAAAACAAUUGCCCGGAUCUGUUAAAAUGCUAAGAAAUCUUACAGAUUUGCAAGUGGGAGGUCAAAAUUUAAAGGCCAAAAGGAGAGUUUAUCAAAGAAGAUCCCACCAUAUAGAAUCCUUGCCAAUUUCUAUUUCUCGUUUAAUCCUUCGAUAUUGUGAUUUCUCCGAGGCUGAUAUUCCUAGGGAUAUUGGGACUUUAUCCAACUUACAUGAUUUAGAUUUGAGCGGCAACAGUUUCCUCUAUCUACCCUUUGAUUUCUCCAAGUUACCAUGGUUGAAGUCCUUGCGUUUGAAUGAUUGUAUGAAUCUUCAAACACUCCCGUCAAUAUCAAAUUUAGAGUACCUUUAUAUUCUUGAACUUAGGAAUUGCCAAAAGUUGGUCAAGAUUACAGGGUUGGACAACCUCCCUUCAAUACAAGAGAUCGACACUCUUAAUUGUACUUCUCUGCAGAAUCCAUUCAAUGAUGGCUUCUUUAGUGCCCAUGCUCUAUCAAUUUCAUCUAGAAAAUAUGCAAUGUUUCAGGUAAGUCCCUUUAUUUUUGUGUGUCUCGUAUCACAUUAUUAAUUAAUGUUCUAAUUGUGUCUUAAUUUGUCUGAUGAAGCUGCGGUUACACAUUUAUCUCCAAAGCAAUGAGAUUCCAGAUUGGUGCAGCAAUCAAGUAACAGCUCCAUCUAUCUGUUUCACUAUUCCCUCCGUAUUUAAGAAAAAGUCGUUAGGAAUGAUUCUCUGGUUUGUUUGCGACUCUAAGAUUUUAUCCCAGUUUGGACACUUCCUUGUUUCCGUAUCCAAUAAAAAGCCUUUAGUUUUUUACUGGACUAGGUAUAUUACUACACCCGAAUCACACGGAGAAGUAUCAUGCGUAUAUUACAUAUCUUGCUUAACUAGUCAUUAUUCUGGCCUGAUGAUCAAAGGCGGGGAAAAGAUAACAGUCGAGGAGGGCCCUGACAAAGGUAGAGUAAAGAAGAUAGGGGUACAUCUGUUAUACUUAGACAAACAUGGUAAUGUUACAUCUUCCCCACCAAUCCUUGAAGAAAAUCAUUCGCAUUCUCAGAUAAUGAACAGAGAGAGUCUCAGUGGAAAUGAACUCAAAAAGAGUGUCAAACAGAGGAUAUCAGCUCAAUCCUUGAAGAACAUCAUCACUCGCUUCAAAUCUUAGUUGAAUCAAAAAUAACUUGCUCCAGUUUCUUAUCAACAUGCAAUAUUCAAAAUGCUCAUCCAACUACAAUCUGAUUUUUUUAAAAAGUAUUUUUCAUCCGACAGAUGCUAAAUACUCAUUGCAAGUUGUCAUCCAAUGAAAAUUUUGCUAGUGUGUACAUUUUAUAUCUUACUCAAAUGAUGGACCUUUUUAUGGCCUGAAGAUUGAAGGCGGGGAAAAGAUAACAGUCAAGGAGGGCGCUGACGAAGGUAUAGUUUUUGCAGGCAGUUGUGGAUCAUUCUUAUACUGAUCUCUACCCAAAAAGACUUUCAUCAAACUACUCCUCUUUGAUAAAAGAUCAAAGUUUCUGUGUUCGGUAGCAAGGAAAAUAUGUUCCAUGAAAACGUUUUUUUGGAAAAUGUUUAUUCUAAAAGUAUUUGUAUAUAUAACACUAAGUGGAAAUGUACUUUUCUGCAGAAUCCAUUCAAUGAAUGCAUCUUUAGUGCCACUGCUCUAUCAAUUCCAUCUGGAAAAUAUCCAAUACAUGAGGGUAGUCCCCUCUCUCUCUCUCUCGUAUCACAUUAACAAUUAAUGAUCUAAUUGUAUUUUAAUUUGUCUGAUGAAGCAGAUUUUAUGAAUUUGUGUCGAAUGCAAUGAGAUUCCAGAUGGGUGCAGCAAUAAAGUAACAGCUCCAUAUAUCUGUUUCACUAUGCCCACAAUACAUAAUAAUAAGUUGUUAAGAAUGGUUCUCUAGUCUGUUGGCGACUUUGAGGCUUUAUCCUAUUUUGGGAACUUCCUUGUUACUGUUGCCCAUAAAAAGCCUUUAGUUAUGGAGUGGUUUGGGUGUAGGAAAAUACCCGAAUUACACGAAGAAAUAGCAUGUGUAUUUGAUGUAUCUUGCUUACGUAGACCUUUCGAUGGCCUGAUGCUCAAAGGUGGGGAAGAGAUAACAGUCGAGGAGGGCCCUUACAAAGGUGUAGUAAAAAAGAUAGGUAUCCAUCUGUUAUACUUAGACCAACACGGUAAUGUUACAUCUUUCCCCAUUUCCAGAAAAACUUCAGCAGGGCAUAAAAGAGCAAAGUUCUGAGUCAAGCUUGGGAAUGAGUGAUGACUGAAUCUGUGGUUUCGAGAUUGCUCAAGUCUGAGACUUCUAUUUCGAGAUUUUCUUUUCUAAGAAGAGCAUGCCACUUACAAUCCUUGUCAUCGACUUCUAUUUCGUGUUUGUCUGAGACUGAUUUUCCUAAGUUUAUUGGGAGUUUAUAUACUGCAUAGAAGUUUUAGAUUUGAGCAGUAACAAUUUUCACUGAGGUUCUUGCUUUUGAAUGACAAUGAGAGUCUUCAAACACUUCCAUCAGUUGCUUCUGUAUAAAAUUUUGUUUUCCAUUGUAUACUGCUAGUUUUUUGAGCUGCACUAAAACUUAGUAAAAAGAGAUGAAUCUGUAUAGUGAAUAUACUUCUUAUAAAUGUUUGUGGUGAUUUAUGGUCAUUAUUUGCAAAUUUCAUAUACUCAUCAGUUCCUAUUUACUUGUCAAAUAUUUUCUAAUUUGAUUUCCCUUUUUAGUUCGUCAUUUUUUUUACAAAUGAAGGAAGAACAAUUAUUUUCUUCCUAUUAUACGCUUAAUUUAUUAACAUUGAAUUAAUGUCUUUGAAAAAUGUAGUAAGUAAAUAUGUUUAAGAUUCUAUCAAUUAAUAGGGUAAAAUAGUAAACUUACUAUACCAAUCAUUGUUUUCUUUAACAGGUGUGUCAAGUCAAAAUUUAACAAGUAAAAAGGGACGAAAAGAGUAUAUAUACUUUGUGAAUUGAGAUUUAUGUCAAUGCUUUGACUGGUUCUUGAGAUGUUAAAUAAUUCCAAAUAAUAUUAAUUUGAUUUUCAUGACCAAACACCUACUUAGCUUGUUGAUCUCAAUUACGUAAAAUCUCUAUAAAAGAUAACCAAAGAAUGUCUCGAAGUCAACUACUGGUCAGACUAUUCAAAAAGAACUUAUAUUAUAAGAAAAUAUUCAAAAAGGAGAAAAAAAAAGUGAAGGAGAAGAAAGAGGAGGUAAAUAGCGUGUAUAUUUAUGAUACGUUAAGUAAGCAAUAUAUUUGUUUAUGUAAUAAGUUAAUUGCAAAGAAUCAAUUACGAAUUUGGUUGAAAAUAGAAUUAAGUACUCUCUUCCUCUCAUAUUAGUUGAUCAUUAUAUUAAAAAUAAUUAUCUAAUAUAAAUAUUUUCUAUAUUAUCCUUGCAAUUAAUUCUUUUUAAAAGUGUUCAUAUUUGUUUAUAAAAUUCCAAAAUAUUUUUUAAAAGGGUGAAUUAAUAAAAUUAUCUUCAUAUUUAUGAUUUUUUAAGCACCAUACAAAAUGAAAAGUGAUCAAAUAAUGGGACAGAGGAAGUAUUAGAUUACUCACUCUGUGGUAUCAUAAUAUUAUCAUUUUAUUUAUUGCUAAUGAAUAUGUGUCAUCAUACUGGACAAAUUAAAAUGAACGAACGUCCCAAUAGCAAAUUAAAUUUCUUACUUGGGAUCAACAAGGAUUGUGGUGCAGUAGAAAGUACUCAUUUAUCCUUAAUCAGACUCUUGGGUUCAAGUUUCCCUUGGUAUAAAGUCCCCUUUUUUAGGGAGCGUUUUACCUCCAAUGUGGAACUUUUCAGUGCAAAUCAAAAUUUAAUCGGGUUCCAAUGUGGUACGAACAACAAGUGGAAAAUCAAAUCAAAUAAAAAAAUAAUAAUUUUUUUUCUUAUUUUUGAAGAAUCUGACACAGAUAGAGCAACAUUUUCAAAGAAUCUGAGUAAAAUACCAAACUAUGAUAAUCUUAAUAAAGGCAUAGUGGAACAUCAUGACAUAUUUGUUGUAUUUUAUUUUUAAGGGAAAAGGCUCAAAUAUGCCAUUGAACUUUCAGAAAAGGCUCAUUUAUGCCAUCCGUUAAAAGUUUGGCUCAUCUAUGCCAUUACCGUUUAAGAAAAGGCUCAUUCAUGCCAUUAUUUUUUAACGGUGGUUUUGCAGAACCAUUUUUUUAAAUGUUUGUUUAGAAUUUUGAUUUUUUAUUAUAAAAAAAAUAAUGACGUGGCCGAAUUAUAAUUGGCCACGUGUAAAAAAUGAUUUUGCAAAACCACCGUUAAAAUAUUUGUUCAUAAUUUUGUUUUUUUGUUAUAAAAAAAUAAUGACGUGGCUGAAUUAUAAUUGGUCACGUGUAAAAAAUAGUUUUGCAAAACCACCGUUAAAAUGCUUGUUCAGAAUUUUGAUUUUUUAUUAUAAAAAAAUAAUGACAUGGCCAAAUUAUAAUUGGCCACGUGUAAAAAAUGGUUUUGCAAAACCACCGUUAAAAAAUAAUGGCAUGAAUGAGCUUUUUCUUAAACGGUAAUGGCAUAGAUGAGCCAAACUUUUAACGAAUGGCAUAAAUGAGCCUUUUCUGAAAGUUCGAUGGCAUAUUUGAGCCUUUUCCCUAUUUUUAAUAAAGAUGAAGAGGAAAAGUCAGAGGUUGUGAAAUUUGUUGCAAUACUAUAUUUGUUCUGCAAUAAAUUAAUCACAAAGAUAUAGAAACGGUCCAAUUCAAUAAAUUAUUCACUUUGUGUGUAAUCGUAAUAUUGUUAUUUUAUUUAUUGUUAAUGAACGUAUAUCGUUAUAAAUGAACCGAGGGUGAGAGUAAACAAAUUAAAUUUCUUAGGACUUGGGAGGUAUCUUGCAAAAUAGUUGAUCUAAUACUAUACAGUGAACUUUCUUGGUUUCAUCCAUGAAUACUCAAGGAGAAUCAUCAUCUUCUUCUUCCCACUUGUCUUAUGAUGUAUUUCUCAGUUUUAGAGGCGAAAGAUACUCGCAAAACCUUCACCGGUCAUCUUUACACCCAAUUGUGUCAAGUCGGAGUUCAUACCUUCAUAGAUGAUGAGGAAUUAAGAAAGGGAGACGUCAUUUCAACCGAACUUGAGAAAGCAAUUGAACAAUCAAGGGUUGCCAUUGUUGUUUUCUCCAAAAAUUAUGCUUCGUCUAGUUGGUGUCUUGAUGAACUUGUUAAAAUUCUCGAUUGCAAAGAGAGGUUAAAGCAGGUAGUUUUGCCUAUUUUCUAUGAUGUUGAUCCUUCUCAAGUGCGAAAGCAAACUGGGUCCUUUGGCGAAGCUUUGGCAAAACACAAGGAACGAUCAAUUGGAGCUGAAAGAAUGGAAAAGUGGAAAGCAGCACUCACUGAAGCUGCAAAUUUAUCUGGAUGGGAUUUGCGAAAUAUUGCUGAUGGGUAAAACUUCUUAAUUUAAUGGGAAAAUGCAUAAGUAUCCCCAAAUUUAUGCCUGAAAUUUCAGAGACACACUUAUACUAUACUAAGAUCCUAUUAUCCGAACUUAUUUUAUAAAUAAUUUUCUACCCCUUUUCGGUCUAUGUGACACUAUUCUUGAAAGAAUUGUCAACAUGCGCUGGCCCUGAAGAUAGUGUCACGUAGGCUGAAAAGGAGUAGAAAAUUAUUUAUAAAAUAAGUACGGGGUAAUAAGACCUUAAUAUAGUAUAAGUGUGUCUCUGAAAUUUCGGGCAUAGGUUGAGGGAUACUUAUGUAUUUUCCCUAAUUUAAUUAUAGAAUUUUGAAUUUAAGAAUUUGCUUAAGCUUAUAAGUUGGUUAGUUUUGAAACAUUGCAAAGUCUUUCAAUAUUUCUUAAAACUCAGUGCCCAAUCAAACUAAGGGAGUAGUAAUAAUCGAUAAUCCAAGUAUCAAUUAACAGCAAUUAGCCUGUUAAAUGUAGUUAGAAUUUACUAAUAGCAUAGAAAUAUCAAUAUAUAAAAAUAAAUUCCGUUCUCUAACCUCGAGUCCCUGUUAUCUGUUGGCUAUUGAUUUUGUUUUGUUCAUCAAAUAUCCAAGUAUUGUUUUGCUUUUUUUACUUUUAACUUUUGUUGUUGCCAUAAAAUUGUAGGCAUGAAUCAAAAUUUAUUGGAAGUAUUAUAAAACAAGUUCUGCAAGAGGUCAACCAGACACCUCUAGAUGUUGCUCAUUACCCAAUUGGAUUAGAUUCUUCUAUCGAACAUAUAGAGUUGUUACUGCAAAGUGGAUGUGAGCAUGAAGUUCACAUGAUUGGUAUAUGUGGCGUUGGUGGAAUUGGAAAAACAACUCUGGCAAAAGCUAUCUACAAUAAAAUAUUUCAACAGUUUGAUGGUAGUUGCUUCCUUUCAGACGUUAGAUCAAAAACUGAAGAAAUGGGUCUAGUCAAACUUCAAAAGAAACUACUUAAUCAAAUCCUCAAAACUAAGGAAUUUGAAGUUGAUAGUGUUGCUGAAGGUGUUAAUCUCAUCAAAGCAAGACUUGGGUUUCAGAAGGUUCUAAUUGUUCUUGAUGACGUGGAUCAUAAAAGCCGAUUAGAAUCCUUAACAAGAGAAAGAAGUUGGUUUGGCUUUGGUAGUGUAAUAAUUAUUACAACCCGAGACGAGCAUUUGUUGUAUGGGCUUACAACAAGUGAGAUAUACCAGGCCAAACUUUUAAAUGACAACGAAGCUCAGCAACUUUUUUCUCGUCAUGCUUUCAACAGUUUUUCUCCACCACAAGAAUAUGAUGAGCUGGCACAAGACAUAAUAAAAUAUUCAGGUGGGUUACCAUUAGCUCUUGUGACAUUAGGGUCACAUUUGCAAGGGAGAUCCAUAGAAGAAUGGAGACACGAGUUCAAAAAACUAAGAGCAAUUCCUCAUUGUGAUACUCAAAAGAUUCUCCAAAUAAGCUUUGAUGGACUUGAUGACAAUACUCAGAGUGUUUUCCUUGAUAUCACAUGCGCCUUCCAUGGAUGUUAUGAGGAUGAAGUGACCAAAACAUUAAAUGCGUGUGGUUUUUAUUCUGAAAGUGCAAUUUCGACCUUAAUCCAAAGGAACUUACUCCAAAGGGAUUGCUGUUAUUUGGUGAUGCAUGAUCUAGUGCGGGAUAUGGGAAGAGAAAUCGUUCGCUUGGAAUCACCUCGAGACUCUGGAAAACGGAGUAGAUUGUUCAACCCUCAAGAAGUCCGUGAUGUUCUACAAGGAAAUAAAGUUAGUAAAUUUGGAUUAUCUUUAUUUGAUAUACAUUUGCUUAUAAUUUAUGUUGUCACCACAUAAACUUAUUUCAUUUGUGCUCAAUACUUCUCUGGCUAGUAAAUUAUCUCUAGUUGUUUGCGAACCACUCUGUACUUGAAAUGAGUCAAAGACAAAAUUAUCAAAUAAAAUUCAGUUAUUCAAUAAUUAUAGAAAUUGAUUUGUUGAAAGAUAUUUCUUAUUAAAUAUUUGGAUAUAAUGUGUAAAUUUAUUUUCUUGGUAGAUAAUUUUUAUUCUCUUUGAUUGACCUUUAAUUUGUAUAAAACAUUUCUCUCUCUUAAUUUCUUAUACUUAACAUGGUCUUAUGGUACUUAACAUGGUCUUACAGGGUUCCAAAAAUGUAGAAGUAUUGGUGGUAGAACGACGGGCAUUAAAGGGUGUGAAGCUGAGCACCAAAGCAUUUCAGAAAAUGAUAAAACUUAGGGUGCUUAAAAUUGAUGACUUACAUAUUAGUGGAGAUUUUGAGCUAUUGUCCAAGGAGCUCAGAUGGUUGUCUUGGAAAGGAUGUCCUUUAAAAUGUAUACCAUUAAAUUUUCCAGCUGAAAAACUUGUAGUUCUGAAUAUGGAAGGGAGCGAUGUCCAAGACUUUGGUUUGAAUUUGCAGGUUCAUUACUCAAUUCUGCAAUUUCACGUGUACUGUUAUAUCGCAAGUAUGAGAAGGAAAAUGUUUAAUUGAAAUUAUAUUUUGUUUACAUUUUAGUGUUGUAGAAGUUUGAAGGAGCUGAAUCUCACUGAUUGCAAGCGCCUCAGAAGUACUCCAAACUUCAGGGGUUCACGAAGUCUCAAGAUUUUGUCCCUUGAGAAUUGCUCAAGUCUAAAGGAGAUCCAUCCAUCAAUAGGAAAUUUGGAAAGACUAAUUGAUCUUCAAUUGAGUGGUUGCAAAAAGAUUACGGAUCUUCCGAGCGGCAUAUGCCAGCUAAAAUCCCUUGAAUACUUGUGCAUUAAUGACUGCUUAUCUUUACAAACACUGCCAGUUGACAUUGGAGAUAUGCAAAACCUAGUAAUUCCUCAUGCAUGGGAUACAGGUAUAAAACAAUUGCCUGUAUCUGUUGAGAUGCUAAGAAAUCUUGAACAUUUGCAAGUGGGAAGUAGAAAUUUAGUGGCCAAAAGGAGUUUUUCUCGAAGAAGAAGAGUCCGCCGCAUAGAAUUCUUGCCAAUUUUUAUUUUUCAUUUAUGCCUUCCAUAUUUUGGUUUCUCAGAGGAUGAUAUUCCUAGAGAUAUUGGAAGAUUAUCCAACUUACGUUAUUUAGAUUUGAGGGGCAACAAUUUCCUCUAUCUACCCUUUGAUUUUUCCAAGUUACCAUUGUUGAUUUCCUUGUGUUUGAAUGAUUGUAAGAAUCUUCAAACACUCCCAUCACUAUCAAAUUUAGAGUACCUUGAAAUUCUUGGACUUGAGAAUUGCCAAAAUCUGGUGAGGAUUACAGGGUUGGACUACCUCCCGUCAAUAAAGAUGAUCGACGUGAUUAAUUGUACUUCCCUGCAGAAUCAAUUCAAUGAAGGCUUCUUUAGUGCCCAUGCUCUAUCAACUCCGUCUAUAAAAUAUCCAGAUAUUAAGGUUUAGUCCCUCUUCCUCUCUCUCUCAUAUCACAUUAUUAAUGAUCUAAUUUUGUCUUAAUUAAUAUGUCUGAUGAAGCUGCAGUUAGAAAUUUAUGUCGAAAGCAAUGAGAUUCCAGAAUGGUGCAGCAAUAAAGUAACAGCUCCAUCUAUUUGUUUGACUAUGCCCACAGUACAGAAUAAUGAGUAUAACUUCUUAGGAAUGGUUCUCUGGUUUGUUUCCCACUUUUGCAAUGUAACCACCCGUCUUCAAAAGUUUGAUGUUACUAUUGGCCAGCCUUCAGCUUUUUUCUUGACUUGGGUACCUGACAGUCAGGGAGAAGUAUCAUGUGUACAUUACUUAUCUUUCUCAAAUGGUAGACCUUUUAAUGGCCUGAACAUCAUCAAAGGCGGGGAACAGAUAAGAGUAGAGGAUCACAGUGAUGGAGGCAUAAUAAAGAAGAUAGGAGUACGUCUGUUAUAUUUAGAUCAACAUGGUAAUGUUACUUCUUUCCCGGCAGUUGUGGAUCAUUCUUAUACUCCCAACCCACAAAGAUAGAUGUUUGAUUUGGGUUGAUAUAAAUUGUUAAGCUGACAAAAAGUUGACAAGCAAACUACAUACUGUAAUAAAUAGAAUUCUUACAAGUGCUUCGACAUUAUUGCUGCUUUGAUGUAUUUGUACAAGAUUUUAUGUGAACAUUCCCUGGCCAAUUGAAACAAACACUGUUAGCAACAUCUAAUACUAUAUCAAUCAUGAAAUUUUCAGUGAAACGUUGCCACUAUAACGAGGUUUGACUGUACUUGCAUAAUGUUAAACCAUCAUCGUACAAGACAUGCCACCCUUACCUACAAGGUGGAGCAUUUUCAUCAGACAUGCUCAAAUGCAACAAAUCCAUACGGAUAUGAUGAUCAAAAUUGAAUGACCGCGAAAGAAAUUAAACGAAUAGAAGCUAGAAUGUCAAUUGACUCACUAAUAAUCCCCUCAAGUACCCGAGGUUGCAUAUUAAUUCCUCCCAAGAUAAAACGGAUUAACCAUUAACGAAGUAGCAGUACCUCAAACUUCGAUAAUUUCAACGAACUCAAAAUGACAGCAACGAAUCAUACACAGACACGAUCAAUUGAUUUUGUUUUUUUAAGAAAUGUAUGCAAAAGAAGGGAAGAAUUCGAUGCAGAAAAAUGGGAGGAAACUUCUCUAUUUAUAGCCAACAAAGGGUAAAGGCACAACCCUUUGGAAAGAAGACAACCUUUCAGAGAGGUCACAACACUUUCAAAAAGGCAUAACCUUUCAAAUGGUCAUAACCCUUUAGAAAGGACACAACAUUUCAUAAAGGUCACAAUCCUUCGGCAUAGUCACAACUCUUCAGGAGAGUCACAGCCCUUCAUUUCCUGUUCACACAUUUAAAACCCAACAAUCCCCCACAUGAAUAGGGAAUGGCUAUUGUUAAAACAUAUGCAUGAAAAAUUGUGUGAUUUGUAAUUAAGGAUUGAUUGCCUCUGGAUAAGUGGGUUUCCCUUUGAACUUUCCAUAGUGAACAUAUAUCGGAUAUACUCGGUCAAUCGGUAGAUUUGAUAUCUUUGAACCGUCGAGCUUUGGUGUAUACCUAGACAACAUAAGUCACACAAUCAACCCUUGAACUGUUUUUGGUUCUCAUUGUUUUAUUCUUUUCGGCCAUGAACACGUCUCAGUUUAUAAGUGCGUAGAGAACUGGCCUUACCAGAUUCUCCUUGAAGCGGCUUACACUUCACACUUACAUAGGUGAUUUCUAAAAUGUGUUAUCCCAUAGAUACACCAUUUGAUAUACGCUGUAUCAAACUUAGAAAUCAUUAAAAAGUCCUAAUGCAUUUAUCCUUGUUACUGAACAUUGUCUUAUCAUGAGAAUGGACCAUAAAAAAUAUUUUGACAAUGUUGAACCGUCAUCAAUGACUUUGUUUGAUCUCCUUGAACCUAGAUCUUGGGAUCUCCAGUCUUCUAGGUAGAGUUACCGCCACAAUGACUUGUUCUCGGCCAUAGUCCCAUUCCCUUUGAUAAUCUAUCAACUCCCUCUCUAGUUAGGCCUUUUAUAAGUGGUCCGACACAUUAUCCUUUGACUUUACAUAGUCAAUUAUGAUAAUUCCACUAGAGAGUAGUUCUCUAACGAUAUUAUGUCUACGUCAUAUAUGAUGAGACUUCCCGUUAUACAUCAUGCUCCAUGCCCUACCUAUUGAGAAUUAACUCUCACAGUGUAUGCAUACCGGAGCUAAAAGGUUUGGGCCAAAAAUCUUUUAAGAAAUUUUGGAGUCAUUCAACUUCUUCACCCGCCUUAUCUAGAGUGAUAAACUCAGAUUUCAUAGUAGAGUCAUAUAAUAUAUGAUCAUGAUUACGUUGGCAUCAUCUCAUCCCAUUGACGAAUGACUCCUAAAUGAAUUUUGAUCAAUUAUUUCAAUCCACUUUCCCAUAAUGUGAAAGAGAUUCAAAGAAGAAUGGACUUUGAGAUGCCAAAAAGAAGAGUGAGAGAGUUGUGUUGACAAUUAAUAUGAAAGCAAGUCACAAAUUAUCUACUAAAGUCAAUCUAGUCCAUAAGUGAAUUAUUAGAGAUAUAAAAAUAAAAAUCUUUAUUAUUUUUAUUAGUGUGACCAAUUAAAAAUCUAGGAAGGAAGUGAAAAUUAAUACUUAUCAUGGACAAAUAAAAAUUAAAAAUGAAGGAAACAUGUCUAUGAAAUAUCUUGGGAACUUCCCUUUCAUUUCUGUUAACCUUCUUUGGGGAGGAUUGUAAAUGAGUUGACCCAAAAUAACAAACAAUUACUUGUGGGUGGUGUUCAUGGUUUGGAUAAAACCAAUCCAAACUGAAAAAUCGAAUCAAAUCGAUAAAAUAAAAUCGAUUUUAUUUGGAUUUGAUUUUAGAUUUUUAAAAACCGAUAGUAUUUGGUUUGGUUAUGGUUUUAUUCAAAAAAACCGAAGAAAUAACUGAACCGAUGAAUUAUAUACAUAUAUUUUAUUAAUAUACAUACUUAAUAUAUUGUUUUUAUAAGCAACUUUAAAGAUCUUACAUAUAUUUUCAUUAAUUUUUUUUUUAUAAUUUACUUAUUGAAAGCAAAAAUGCCCAAGAUAAAAAUAUUUAUCUUAUUGAUUUCAUAUAUAUGAAUGUCUAUGACAAUUCUUUGUGGAACUGAAAAUGUUAUUGUCUCUUCCUUCUAGGCCAAUAUAGUGAAUUUUAAAGUUUUAUUAAUAGUAAAUUUAGUGAUCAAAAGUUCAAUAAUUUAAGUCAUUCUAACUAUUUUUCGUUUUGAAUGGAUUGUUGUCACUUUUUUCACAUUUUGAAUGAAUUAUUUCUUUUAUUUUUGUGUAUGGUUAAUAACCGAACCAAAUCAAACCGAAACUAAUAACCAUCAAACCGAUAAAUGUAUAUUAUAUUUGAUUUGAUUUGGUUUUGAUAAUUUUAAAACCGAUUAAGUUGGUUUGAUUUUGAAUUUGACCACUAACCAAUACCUACUUGUGGGUAUAUAAAGUGCUGCUUCACUCAUCUCUAUUUAAUUAAAAAAAACAAAAGUUGACUAAAAUUCUCUUUAAUUUAUUGUCAUCAAAUAUGAAUACUCAAUUUGUUGUAGGAGAAUCAUCUUCUUCUUCCAACUUCUCUUAUGAUGUAUUUCUCAGUUUCAGAGGUAAAGAUACCCGUAAAAACUUCACCGGUCAUCUUUAUUUCCGAUUGUGUCAAGUCGGAGUUAAUACUUUCAUAGAUGAUGAGGAAUUGAGAAAGGGAGACGUCAUUUCAACAGAACUUGAGAAAGCAAUUGAAGAAUCUAGGGUUGCCAUUGUUGUUUUCUCCAAAAAUUAUGCUUCGUCUAGUUGGUGUCUCGAUGAACUUGUCAAAAUUCUCGAUUGCAGAGAGAGGUUAAAUCAGGUAAUUUUGCCUAUUUUCUAUGAUGUUGAUCCUUCUCAAGUGCGAAAACAAACUGGGUCCUUUGGCGAAGCUUUGGCAAAACACAAGGAACAAUUGUUUGGAGUUCAAAGAGUGGAGAAGUGGAGAGCUGCACUUACUGAAGCUGCGAAUUUAUCUGGAUGGGAUUUGCGAAACAUGGCUGAUG